Molecule: ribosomal RNA, 207 nt
Filed under: uncultured bacterium
Lineage: Bacteria
Description: partial 16S ribosomal RNA
Rfam family: Bacterial small subunit ribosomal RNA
Source: RNAcentral
GACGUCCCUAGUUCGGAUUGUAGGCUGAAACUCGCCCUACAUGAAGCUGGAAUUGCUAGUAAUCACAGGUCAGCAUACUGUGGUGAAUACGUUCCCGGGCCUUGUACACACCGCCCGUCACACCAUGAGAGUUGAGAAUACCCGAAGCCCAUGUCAAAGUGGUCGAAGGUAGGCUUGAUGAUUGGGGUGAAGUCGUAACAAGGUAAC